GAACGAGACCCUUGCAUCUAGUUGCCAGCAGAUCCCUUCGGGAUGCUGGGUACCCUAGAUGGACCGCCACUGCUAAAGUGGAGGAAGGAGAGGGCGACGGUAGGUCAGUAUGCCCCGAAUCUCCCGGGCUACACGCGGCCUACAAUGGACAGGACAAUGGGCUCCGAUCCCGAAAGGGAAAGGCAAUCCUUUAAACCUGUUCUUAGUUCGGAUUGAGGGCUGUAACUCGCCCUCAUGAAGCUGGAAUCUCUAGUAAUCGCGUGUCAUUAUCGCGCGGUGAAUACGUCCCUGCUCCUU
RNAcentral lists this ribosomal RNA (297 nucleotides) under uncultured Thermoplasmata archaeon. RNAcentral describes it as "partial 16S ribosomal RNA". It matches the Rfam family "Archaeal small subunit ribosomal RNA", at positions 1043 to 1338 of the family's 1478-position model. The record is from RNAcentral. Lineage: Archaea; Methanobacteriati; Thermoplasmatota; Thermoplasmata.